GACGAACGCUGGCGGCGUGCCUAAUACAUGCAAGUCGAACGAGAGCGACCGGUGCUUGCACUGGUCAAUCUAGUGGCGAACGGGUGAGUAACACGUGGGUAACCUGCCCAUCAGAGGGGGAUAACAUCCGGAAACGGAUGCUAAAACCGCAUAGGUCUUCGAACCGCAUGGUUUGAAGAGGAAAAGAGGCGCAAGCUUCUGCUGAUGGAUGGACCCGCGGUGCAUUAGCUAGUUGGUGAGGUAACGGCUCACCAAGGCCGUGAUGCAUAGCCGACCUGAGAGGGUGAUCGGCCACAUUGGGACUGAGACACGGCCCAAACUCCUACGGGAGGCAGCAGUAGGGAAUCUUCCGCAAUGGACGCAAGUCUGACGGAGCAACGCCGCGUGAGUGAAGUAGGUUUUCGGAUCGUAAAACUCUGUUGUUAGAGAAGAACAAGUGCUAGAGUAACUGUUAGCGCCUUGACGGUAUCUAACCAGAAAGCCACGGCUAACUACGUG
RNAcentral lists this ribosomal RNA (498 nucleotides) under uncultured bacterium. RNAcentral's name for it is "partial 16S ribosomal RNA". It matches the Rfam family "Bacterial small subunit ribosomal RNA", at positions 28 to 507 of the family's 1533-position model. The record is from RNAcentral.